Long non-coding RNA from Gambusia affinis (western mosquitofish), 4865 nucleotides. RefSeq lists it as uncharacterized. The record is from RefSeq and is a predicted model, not a curated record. Lineage: Eukaryota; Metazoa; Chordata; Actinopteri; Cyprinodontiformes; Poeciliidae. The transcript has 3 exons.
GCGAUGCAACAAACAGGUGCUGUGGAAACGUGGGAGUCCGUCUGCCAUUCACAACUUCCUCUAGACACCAGCAGCUUCUGGCCACUUGAAUGAACGGCUUUUUAUAAUGUUGAAGCUUCGCGAGUUAUAAUAAAGCGUUUCAAACACCCAAGUCAAAGUGACACAGAGACAACACUGAAGCGAAGCUAGCCGCUUUCUGUCCAGCGGUUGAGCUGCGCUGAGCCGUUCGCGGUCGCACUGAAAGCAGCCGCGGAAUGCUAAGCUAAUGCAUUUGGGAGCUUCAUCGACUCCACUUGUAACAGCGUUUUCGUCGCCCUUCAAUGCUGCUGUGACUCUUAACUCGCAACGGUAGACGAAACCAAUUCAGCGUCACGUUUACAUGGCCUAGCAAACACAAGCACCGACCUCAAGUUACCAGCCCGAUGCUUUCCACACGCCCGCCAUUUAGCGUGGCGAAGAAGUUCGGGAAAUUACACACUGUUUCUAUCAGCUCCCAGGAAGUCGAUGAGAGUCACCGCUGACGUCGGCACACCGUAGUCCGGCCAGCUGAGGUACUGGAAGUGACUCACGUGUCUCUGCUCACAUGUCUGGACAGUGGUUGGACAGACUGAUGUUCGCUUGUUCAGACUGAUCUGUCGGCCCAUGACUCGGUACAAGUGCUGCGUAACAGGGACUGCGGUGUCGAGGUGAGAGAUUAAUCCUUCCUAAAAGGUCAAAGUUUUCAUCCCUGCGCCACCCGGUCAGGUCUGGAAACUGUCUGAGCUGCAGAGCCUCUCCGCAUUUUGUCACAUCAUAACCACAAACUUUCAGGGGGGCUGUGUGGGGGUAUGGGGGCUCUUUGAUAGACCAAAAACAAAUUAGCAUUUCAAUACGAGGUGGAAAGAACUAAUAACAAAUAAGAAUCUUUAAAAUUACAGUGUGACUCUGUGUUCAGCCUCACUGAGUGAGAACUAGUUAGAACUACCUUAAGGCGCAGUUACAGCUACAGGCCUGUAGGGGGUGUCUGUACCAGCUUUUUGGGUGUAAAUGCUGAUAUUUUCUUUCCUCCAUUCUGUUUUUCAAAAUAGCUCCAGUUCAGUUAGAUUGGAUGGAGACUGUGACCAAGUCCAUCUGAUUGGACUUCAGUAUGGACUUUGACUGGGUCAUUUCAACGCUUGAAUAAGGUUGAAGCUAAAUGUUUACUUUUUUGUAAAUGUGCACCAUUUUGGUUGUAAAAACAAACAUUUUUCUACAAGUCUGCUAUCUAAUGUAAAUUGCUUGUGACAAGCUGUCAUUGGGACAAUUUUUCUCUUCUUCUUCUACUGUAACGGAGUUGAAACAUGCUCUCACUAGAACCAAAUAUGGAGGAGCGCCAUUUAUUUUCUACGCUCCACAAAUCUGGAACAAACUUCCAGAAUAGUACAAAACUGCCGAAACGCUGAGUUCCUUUAAAUCAAGGUUAAAAACCCACCUAUACAGUGUUGCCUUUGAUAAAUAAUGGCUUGAACAUUGAUUAUUAUAUUUGAUGUAUAUUUCUUUGAUGAUUUUGAUGAGGGCAUUUGACCAAAAUAUCUUUGUUUUAUAAUCCAUUACCAUAUUACAUGGUGUCCACAUGUAAUAUGGUAAUCAAGUCCAAUUCAAGACUUUAUUAGACCUUUCCAGACCAUUGUGAAGGCAAUUUAACACCUGUACCACUGCAGAAUAUGCAAAAGAAAAUUGAACAUUUUAUGUAGUAGCUGUUUUGCACAGAACGGGUUGGAAACAGAAGGGAGCCAGUGGCAAAAACAAAUUGGCGAUAAAUUUAAACUUACCAAUGAUAGACACAAAAAAGCUAGCUAGAAAGGGUUUAUUAGCAGCUCAUAAGCGGUAGCCUCACCCGCCUUGAGUUAUGACCUGUGGUUAAUGUAUUCAAGGCCAACGUAGGCUAGGCAAGGCAACUUUAUUUAUAUAGCACCUUUCAGCCAAAGACAAUUCAAAGUGCGUGUACAAAAAACAACAUACAACAAGAAGAUAAUAAAAAGAAAGUAAAUUAAAGAUCAAGCAGAUUAAAAAUGAACAAAAUAAACAUUACAGUUUUGAAUAUAGUUAAAAACAAACAUUUAAAAAUAGGCAAUGUCAAAUAAGGUUUUUAGCCUUGUUUUAAAUAAACUCAAGGUAGGGGCAGUCUUACAAUGAGCAGGAAGCUUAUUCCAGAGUGUUGGAGCAUAAAAACUAAAAGCUGCUUCACCAUGUUUAGUUCUGAAGUUUAGUUAGAAGGUUUGAUUCUGAUGAUCUUAAAGGUCUGAGUGGUAUAUAUGGUUGAAGAAGAUCAGAAAUAUAGUCUGGGUUUCUGUUAUGAAGUGCUUCGUAAACCAUUAAGGAGAUUUUAAAGUCUAUUCUUUGAGUAACAGGCUACAUACUUUGUAAAACAUUUAAUACAUCUUAAGGCCACAAUUUUAGGUACAUGAAUUUAAGACUUUUCAAGGACUCUCUUGUAUGCUGUUUUUAUGAUCUAAAGCCCUUUGAAUGGCCUUGCUGAUGAAAUGUGCUAGACAAAUAAAACUGCCUCGACUUCUGUUGGGCAUUCAAAACUUCUCCACAACCUUUCCCCCCUGACAUGUCUGCUAUUCACUUGACUCAUUUUUGGGGACUGAACACAAAUGCCACACUUUUAAUAUUUUUAUUGGUCUACUUAGGUCUACUUUUUGCACUUUUCGUUUGCACCCUAUUAACCUUCCACCAAUAUUAUGCAUCAAAAGCCUAAAAUAAGAGAUAAUGCUGACUAAAGAGGAUGACUCACUCACUGAGAUCAUCAAAUAAAUAAGGAACUAGGACUUUGAUCACCACGUUCCACUUUGAUGGUGGAGAGAUCAGUUGAUAUCUGAAACCGUUCUGCUUGUCACUUUUGAUUUCACAACCUCAACUCAUCUCGCCCUCCUGCACGCACACACGCAUACACACACGUAUGCAUACAUGGUUGCACUACUUCACAAUGUCCCUACAGCAGAGACGGACACGCCCGGCUCCGAUAGUCGUGCUGAGAUGUGUGAAGUCGUACGUUUCUUAAUGCUCCUCUUCUCUCCCUGGGAGGCAGCUGAGAAGCAGGAAGCUGAAAAAGAUGCUCGGUUCAGAUGCACAGCUGUUGUUCAUCUGUUAUGCCUCAAAAAAAAAAAAAAAAAAAAAAGAAAGUCCAGAAAAAACAAACAACAAAAUCCCAGAUUCCGUUUCCAUCCGUCUCUUUUAUCUGGACACAGUUCCUUUACGUCGAUAUCGUCUGACUGCGUGCUCAGCUCCUCCCUGCUACCCUCCAUGUUUCUUUUGAUAACACAAGUAGGAUUUGUUCACGAGUGCUUCGGUUCUCCAUAAAGUUAAAAACGCCUCUUGGAAUAUCCCUCUGGUGAUGAGUCGGCGUGAGACCGUGUUCCUGGGAAUGUUGCGCUAGUCUUUUGUGUUGCGCUCGUUUGCUGCGAACGAUGCGGGUACUACUCACCAACUUUCCUCAAUCAAUAACGCAGGCCAGUUUUAUGCUUUCAGCUCUACUGCACUGAAAGCUGCAUGACAGAAAAAGUAGCAUGAACUCGAUCACCUUUAUUAAUAGAGAAUAAAUAUGUCAACAUUAUUCCAGAAGCUUGUUGAUGCCCAUAACUCAAGUGUUGUACUUCAGUUCAUUUUAAAUUAAAAAAUAUUGUCUUCACCCCAAAGGGAAAUCAAAUGUUGUAACAACUCCUACCAAAGUAGCUUAAAAUGGAUGGCCUCUGACUAGGGCUGGGCAAUAGAUCAAUAACAUUAUAGAUCGCUAUAGACGGGUGAUCAAUAUGAAUAGAUUAUGCAUUCAUUUCAAUCCAGAACCGUGGAGCAUUCUGGGGGAUGCAGGCAGAGGAAAAGCUUUAGCUGCUCAACCUCUCAUGUCCAGCUAAGUUAGUCUAGUAACAUCAACUAACUCACUCACUAUUUGGUUGCCUAGCAACAACCUGUUGCACGGCAGCAGUUUAAGGCUUUUCAGAACAACGCUGGUAAAGACAUUGUUAAAGGGUUAAUGGAGGAGCCAUGUUGUGGUGACUUCCUGAAGGCAGAGUUUCAGAAAGAGCAGGAGUUUCUUAAAGAGACAAAGACCCAGUUUCAAGCCCAAGUCAAAUUUCUAUAAUAUAUGUAGAAUUUUUAUAACAGAAAAUUAACCUAAUUACUUGAUAGUGCCAUUUUAUAACAUAAUAUGCCAAGGAAAAUAACUUUUACCUUUAUUUAACGAGGUAAGUUAUUAAGAACAUGUUCCUUUUUACAAUAACAAGAGGGACAGAGGGAAGAACACAAAGGUAAUAAUCUUUGUGUUUUGGAUCAACAAUGUUCUGAUUAGUAUUCCACAUAAAUUAGACAACUAUGUUUUGUUUUAUUAAAAAUUUAAUGUAUAUUACUGAGACCAAACUGAAAAAACAAACAUUUAUUUAGAUAUGUUUGUGACCUGUGGGUGAUUUCAAUGCAACAAUUUUGACUCUAUGGUAAAAAUGUUUGGACUCAACUGUACCAGAUCAAAUUACAAAGGUUUCCAUCUACCCACUAAACCUCCGUCUCUGAGAAAAAGGAGUGAUGUAAAUAUUUGUCAUUACAAAAAUAUUUAAGGAUGAAUCUACCUGCCAUUUUUUGUUUUAUUUUAACAGACCCAUAUGGCUUUUACAGGACCACAUCCACAAUUUUGAUGUGCAGUCAUACUAGAGCAGCAACUGCAGAAACAUUUCAGACUAGGGAUCUUCGUCUGGCCUUAAACCACAAAAGGAAACUGAACUAAAGUAAAUGUUAUUCACAGCAAAGGGUUUUGAUGCUCGUUACUCCUUAUCGACAAAAUCCAGGGCUGGCAAGUUCAGCUGGAAGCAGAUGCUUUAAGCACAUGAUGACACAUCAGGUUAGCAGCGUCC